GGUUUCUAGGGCCGAAGUAAUGAUUAAGAGGGACAAUUGGGGGCAUCCGUAUUUCGUUGUCAGAGGUGAAAUUCUUGGAUUUACGAAAGACGAACAACUGCGAAAGCACUUGCCAAGAGUGUUUUCAUUAAUCAAGAACGAAAGUUAGAGGAUCGAAGACGAUCAGAUACCGUCCUAGUUCUAACCAUAAACGAUGUCGACUAGGGAUCAGCGGGCGUUAUCGUACGACCCCGUUGGCACCUUACGGGAAACCAAAGUUUUUGGAUUCCGGGGGAAGUAUGGUUGCAAAGCUGAAACUUAAAGGAAUUGACGGAAGGGCACCACCAAGAGUGGAGCCUGUGGCUCAAUUUGACUCAAC
Molecule: ribosomal RNA, 358 nt
Filed under: uncultured marine eukaryote
Lineage: Eukaryota
Description: SSU rRNA
Rfam family: Eukaryotic small subunit ribosomal RNA
Source: RNAcentral